AUGACCUCCCUUUUGAUGCUCGUCUCUUGGGAGAUUUGGAAGGAGCGCAACGCGAGAGUCUUCCGCAACUCGGCGACCCCCACCGCGGUGCUAGUGCGAAACAUUAAGGAGGAAGUUAGAUUAUGGGUGAUGGCGGGAGCGAAAAACUUGGGCGUUGUAAUGCCGCGAGAGUGA
This 174-nucleotide ribosomal RNA is filed under the name Triticum aestivum (bread wheat). RNAcentral's name for it is "partial small subunit ribosomal RNA". Lineage: Eukaryota; Viridiplantae; Streptophyta; Magnoliopsida; Poales; Poaceae. The record is from RNAcentral.